GAUGAAGAACGUAGUGAAAUGCGAUAAGUAAUGUGAAUUGCAGAAUUCAGUGAAUCAUCGAAUCUUUGAACGCACCUUGCGCUCCUUGGCAUUCCGAGGAGCAUGCCUGUUUGAGUGUCAUUAAAUUCUCAAGACCUGUCUGCUUUUUUGAUAGGUAUUGGAUUUUGGGGGUUGCAGGCUGUUUCAAAUAAAUAGCCUUGCUCUCCUUGGAUGUAUUAGUGGAGAAAAGCCAUUGAACUCCAUUGGUGUGAUAAAACCUAUCAAUGCCAGGAGCAAUAUCACUACUUCUCUCUGCUGUCUAACUGUGACUAUCUGUAUUAAUUAGUAUGGAUGGGGACAACUUGACCAACUUGACCUCAAAUCAGGUAGGACUACCCGCUGAACUUAAGCAUAUCAAUAAGCGGAGGA
This 408-nucleotide unclassified non-coding RNA is filed under the name soil metagenome. RNAcentral's name for it is "partial contains 5.8S ribosomal RNA, internal transcribed spacer 2, and large subunit ribosomal RNA". The stretch from base 1 to 120 matches the Rfam family "5.8S ribosomal RNA", at positions 35 to 154 of the family's 154-position model. The record is from RNAcentral.